Molecule: ribosomal RNA, 516 nt
Filed under: Staphylococcus pseudintermedius
Lineage: Bacteria; Bacillati; Bacillota; Bacilli; Caryophanales; Staphylococcaceae
Description: partial 23S ribosomal RNA
Rfam family: Bacterial large subunit ribosomal RNA
Source: RNAcentral
GCGAGUCUGAAUAGGGCGAAUGAGUAUUUGGUCGUAGACCCGAAACCAGGUGAUCUACCCUUGGUCAGGUUGAAGUUCAGGUAACACUGAAUGGAGGACCGAACCGACUUACGUUGAAAAGUGAGCGGAUGAACUGAGGGUAGCGGAGAAAUUCCAAUCGAACUUGGAGAUAGCUGGUUCUCUCCGAAAUAGCUUUAGGGCUAGCCUCAAGUGAUGAUUAUUGGAGGUAGAGCACUGUUUGGACGAGGGGCCCCUCUCGGGUUACCGAAUUCAGACAAACUCCGAAUGCCAAAUAAUUUAACUUGGGAGUCAGAAUGUGGGUGAUAAGGUCCAUAUUCGAAAGGGAAACAGCCCAGACCACCAGCUAAGGUCCCAAAAUAUAUGUUAAGUGGAAAAGGAUGUGGCGUUGCCCAGACAACUAGGAUGUUGGCUUAGAAGCAGCCAUCAUUUAAAGAGUGCGUAAUAGCUCACUAGUCGAGUGACACUGCGCCGAAAAUGUACCGGGGCUAAACAUAU